RNAcentral lists this ribosomal RNA (208 nucleotides) under uncultured bacterium. Its description in RNAcentral is "partial 16S ribosomal RNA". It matches the Rfam family "Bacterial small subunit ribosomal RNA", at positions 568 to 774 of the family's 1533-position model. The record is from RNAcentral.
CGCGUAGGCGGCCACCGCAAGUCAGUUGUGAAAUCUCUGGGCUUAACCCAGAAAGGUCAACUGAUACUGCGGGGCUAGAGUGCAGAAGGGGCAACUGGAAUUCUCGGUGUAGCGGUGAAAUGCGUAGAUAUCGAGAGGAACACCUGCGGCGAAGGCGGGUUGCUGGGCUGACACUGACGCUGAGGCGCGAAAGCUAGGGGAGCGAACG